This 451-nucleotide long non-coding RNA is filed under the name Serinus canaria (Common canary). RNAcentral describes it as "lncRNA (ENSSCAG00000012529.1)". The record is from RNAcentral. Lineage: Eukaryota; Metazoa; Chordata; Aves; Passeriformes; Fringillidae.
UAAAUCCAGUGCUUUUUAUAGAUCAUAGAUAAUUUAUAACAUUUAUUUAUUUUCACAGACCAUUUUUAACUCUUCCAAGUAGUAGAAAUGUAAGAUGUGAGCAAUAGCAACACAAGGAAUAUGCUUCUCAAAACUCACAUGGAGUAAAUCCAGGAGAGCUGCAGCUCCAAACACUUGAGGAAAUUGGAUACCUCAUUAUUCCAGGGAGCUUGUGGAAGUGUUUGUGUCUGUUUGUGUGCACAGUGAACAAUGCCAUGGACUAUUCACUGGAGUGAUAAAUUGUGCUUACUCCCAUGUCAGAGAAAGAGUUUCAGCCCUUUUUAACCUGGAGGCCUUCAGCCCAGUCCACCAUGGAUCACCUCAAGAGAUAUUAGUUAUUUUUUGUGAGGAAAAAGAGGGAAAGAGUGAAAACAAUGAGUUCCGAUUAGAUGCUAGGAUAAACAAAGAGUGA